GCCUUCGUGGUGUAACGGUAGCACGCUCAGCGCGUAUUCGAGAGGUCUAGGUUCGAAUCCUGGCGAGGGCA
This 71-nucleotide transfer RNA is filed under the name Stegodyphus mimosarum. It matches the Rfam family "tRNA". From Rfam's summary of the family: Transfer RNA (tRNA) molecules are approximately 80 nucleotides in length. Their secondary structure includes four short double-helical elements and three loops (D, anti-codon, and T loops). Further hydrogen bonds mediate the characteristic L-shaped molecular structure. tRNAs have two regions of fundamental functional importance: the anti-codon, which is responsible for specific mRNA codon recognition, and the 3' end, to which the tRNAs corresponding amino acid is attached (by aminoacyl-tRNA synthetases). tRNAs cope with the degeneracy of the genetic code in two manners: having more than one tRNA (with a specific anti-codon) for a particular amino acid; and 'wobble' base-pairing, i.e. permitting non-standard base-pairing at the 3rd anti-codon position. The record is from Rfam by way of RNAcentral. Lineage: Eukaryota; Metazoa; Arthropoda; Arachnida; Araneae; Eresidae.